This 983-nucleotide long non-coding RNA is filed under the name Coturnix japonica (Japanese quail). RNAcentral's name for it is "lncRNA (ENSCJPG00005006824.1)". The record is from RNAcentral. Lineage: Eukaryota; Metazoa; Chordata; Aves; Galliformes; Phasianidae.
AUGCAGGCCGAGCCGACAGGUGGCAGCACGGCACUGCAUGAGGGCACGGCGCUGCGCAGAGCCUGCCCCAAUCCAGCCCGGCCUACCCGAAUCCAGCCCCCUCCCCUUCCACCACGGGUUGGAAGCGGCAGGGAGAAGCUGAUUGCAGCCUUCCCUACAUGCCAGAAAAUCUUAAUAUCGUUUGGUUGGAGGGGAUCUCAGAGAUCAUCCAUUUCCAGCCCCUCUGCCGUGGGCUGGCCGCCCCUCACAAGCCCAGGCCUGCCCAGAGCCCCAUACCUGGCAAUGGGCAGCACUGUGCAUAGAAAAUAUCUAUGUGGGAUUUGCUUUAUCAUGGUGCUGACCAUGCAGAUUCUUUGCAUAGAUCUGUAUUGCAGCUCAGGAGCUGGAGAGGCCUACAAAGCCUUUGAGUAUCGAGAACGCCAGUUCCUCACUGGCCACAUUCCACCCAUCUGGAUACGUGACCUGCUGGCAGAAGAUGGGACCUAUAAGGAGCCUGUAUGUGUUCUGCCACCUAUUGGAAUGAGACGGGCAGAGAGACGCCCGGAGAUGAAGGAGAGGAAGGAAGAAGUCAAGCUUCCACCUCUGCUUUGGACAGCUGGGAAACAUCACAGUACUUGCACUGGGGUGAUGGGUCAAGAAACACAGCUCUAUGGAGAGGGAUCCCAGGAGAGCCCUCCUGACCAAGUUUCAUCCCCUCUGUUAUUGUGCACUUCGUUUCCUUAUGGCGAUGUGGGCUCCCAUCUGCCUCUAACUUCUCACACAGGCAAGGACACACUUCACAACACCCCAAGUCCAGCAGCGGUUCACCUCUCUGAAGAGCACCACACAGGAAGAGGGAGAAACCUCGACCAGUAAAAAUCUCCAGCAAAGAAAUCUAGCGAGGAGAUUACGUGCCAGCUUCCUCGAGCAGAAGAAGAGGACAGUGGGCCCCUCCAGCAACACAUGGCAGCCCCAAGUAAGUGUGCAGCAGCUUCCCAGCAAAG